This 69-nucleotide small nucleolar RNA is filed under the name Salvator merianae (Argentine black and white tegu). The record is from RNAcentral. Lineage: Eukaryota; Metazoa; Chordata; Lepidosauria; Squamata; Teiidae.
AUGGAAGUGAUGUGCAGUCUUCAACCUGAUAACAAUGAUGGGUUGUUGUAUUCAUACUGUCUGAUCCAU